CAAAGGCUUGGUCCUGGCUUUACUAUCAACUCUUACCAAACUUACACAUGCAAGUCUCCGCACCCCCGUGAGAAUGCCCUCAGUCCCCCACCCGGGAACAAGGAGCGGGUAUCAGGCACGCCCCGGCAGCCCAAGACGCCUUGCUAAGCCACACCCUCAAGGGAACUCAGCAGUGAUAAACAUUAAGCCAUAAGUGAAAACUUGACUUAGUUACGGUAAACAAGGGCCGGUAAAACUCGUGCCAGCCACCGCGGUUAUACGAGAGACCCAAGUUGAUAAGCAACGGCGUAAAGAGUGGUUAAGGAAACACCCCAACUAAAGCCGAACACCCUCAAAGCUGUUAUACGCACCCGAGGACAUGAAGCACCACCACGAAAGUGGCUUUACCCAUCCUGAACCCACGAAAGCUAAGACACAAACUGGGAUUAGAUACCCCACUAUGCCUAGCCCUAAACAUUGAUAGUACUUUACACCCACUAUCCGCCAGGGAACUACGAGCACCAGCUUAAAACCCAAAGGACUUGGCGGUGCUUUAGACCCACCUAGAGGAGCCUGUUCUAGAACCGAUAACCCCCGUUCAACCUCACCCUCUCUUGUCCCCCCCCCCGCCUAUAUACCGCCGUCGUCAGCUUACCCUGUGAAGGCCCCAUAGUAAGCAAAAUUGGCACAGCCUAAAACGUCAGGUCGAGGUGUAGCGUUAUGAGAUGGAAAGAAAUGGGCUACAUUUUCUCUGCCAUAGAGAAUUACGGAUGGUGUAAUGAAAUACACACCUGAAGGAGGAUUUAGCAGUAAGCAGAAAACAGAGCGUUCUACUGAAACUGGCCCUGAAGCGCGCACACACCGCCCGUCACUCUCCCCAAAAAACUAAAAACAAGUAACUAAAUACCCACCACAAUAAAGGGGAGGCAAGUCGUAACAUGGUAAGUGUACCGGAAGGUGCACUUGGAAAAAU
This 952-nucleotide non-coding RNA is filed under the name Anomalops katoptron (splitfin flashlightfish). RNAcentral describes it as "12S rRNA". It matches the Rfam family "Bacterial small subunit ribosomal RNA". The record is from RNAcentral. Lineage: Eukaryota; Metazoa; Chordata; Actinopteri; Trachichthyiformes; Anomalopidae.